UUAGUAUUUUCGUUCUAUUUACUGUUACAUUUGAUAAUAAAAGUAAAAAAUUUCAAAAUUUAUGUUGAAGAUAAAUAAAUUUGAUUUUUAUAUUUUUUUAUUCAUAAUUUUGUACGUAAACUUAGAUUGUUUGUUUUUUCUCCGUUUUAUGUAAAUCGUUAAUAUAAUAUGAUGCACCCAGAAUCAAAAGAACUUUAUGAAUUAUCAAAUAUGAAGAAAACAACUUUAUUGCACAUUUAUCCUUUCGACAUCAACAAUAUUUUGACAAAAAAAAGGUGAAACAUAAAACGAAAUAUUCUAAAAAUCCAUUUAUUGUAAAUACAAAUAAAAUAGUUUUAAAUAUUAUACGUAUAUUAAGUUUAUCCUUACGAUCGUCUCGUACUCGACAACCCAUCUCGACAAGAAAUAGUCCAUAACAUUCUAUUGAUUCUAAGUGCCUUAUAUAUAUUAUCGUAAUAUUUUGUUUAUUCCUUUAAUUUUUUAUAUAUAGAUAUUUAGCUGUUUGCAAUUAAUUAAUAAUUUCUUUUAAUAAAUCUUCUAUGAAUAGUGUUUU
Molecule: long non-coding RNA, 553 nt
Organism: Bombus impatiens (common eastern bumble bee)
Lineage: Eukaryota; Metazoa; Arthropoda; Insecta; Hymenoptera; Apidae
Exons: 2
Source: RefSeq, a predicted model, not a curated record